This 88-nucleotide transfer RNA is filed under the name Deltaproteobacteria bacterium. RNAcentral describes it as "tRNA-Leu". It matches the Rfam family "tRNA". Rfam says of the family: Transfer RNA (tRNA) molecules are approximately 80 nucleotides in length. Lineage: Bacteria; Pseudomonadati; Myxococcota; Myxococcia. The record is from RNAcentral.
GCCUGGGUGGCGGAAUAGGUAGACGCAAGGGACUUAAAAUCCCUCGGUGCUUGUCACCGUGCCGGUUCGAUUCCGGCCCUAGGCACCA